CUCUCUUCCGCACACUUCUGUUUAAUUUUCUCCAUUAUCAUCAUUUCUCUCGAUUUUCAACUGAUAAGAUCAUGUACUAGUCCCUUUGGCUUUGUGUUGUGAGUUUGUUUAUAGCAAGCAUAACUCAUUGGGUUUACAAAUGGAGGAAUCCUAAAUGCAAUGGCAAACUCCCUCCAGGUUCAAUGGGAUUCCCACUUAUUGGGGAGACCAUCUAGUUUUUCAUUCCAAGCAAGUCCUCAGACAUUUCGGAUUUCAUCAAGAAGAGGAUGAAAAAGUAAGCAAAUAUACAAAUUAUACAAUACAUUUAUAGAAGGUAGUUGUGGGGCCUUAUCCCAUGUGUCCACCCACGAAUACUUCCACACGUCUGUCCACGUGGCAUUGUCCCAGUUAGGCCACAUGUCACUUCUUUCAUCACUGCUAAGACGACCUUCAAGGCAUCUGGAGACAUCUUGUUCAGACCAUUUGCGCUGUUGAGCAGCUCGUAUCUUCCUGAUAGCCUCAAAUCUUCUCUGAUAUGCGAGACCCUAGUUAGCUGACACCGGAUUGAUUGAUGGGAUUCUUCCCAUCCUCAUGUCUACUUCAGUAGACAGACACGUCAAGUCUUAGGUCAUCAGCAAGACUGAAAGGAUGGCAAGUUGUGUCAUGGCGCGCUGUCUGACACAACCCCCAGCCACCUUGUAGAGGGAGACAGAAAACCCAGAUUCUGGUACCGGGGCGGGAACCUUCAUUGCCACAUCUAAUGGAGGAAUUCAUCCUCAGUUGACCAGGUAUCAACAUUGGCGACGUCUGUGGGAACGAAAUA
Vitis riparia (riverbank grape) is the source of this 802-nucleotide long non-coding RNA. RefSeq lists it as uncharacterized. The transcript has 2 exons. The record is from RefSeq and is a predicted model, not a curated record. NCBI's taxonomy places the organism in Eukaryota, Viridiplantae, Streptophyta, Magnoliopsida, Vitales, Vitaceae.